AGGAUAGGAGACCACGUCACGUCAGCUGUGUGUGCGUCUGUUUCUGUUUCUUUUGCCGUGUUUACCCGAAUGUCUACAACAGGUGUUGCGUGACGCAAACAUGGCCAAAUGAAACAUUACGUUUUCUUCUGUUGCCCAUCAUUCAGUUCCGUGUGGCCAAAGUGGAUCUCAUUCUCUUGGUUGUCAUCAUGCCGAGUUUUUUACGACCGUUAAUUCUUUUAAUUCUGUUCAUUGGAUUCGCGUCCAUCGAUGGUCACACUUACGACGAAGCCCGUUCAGUCUCACUGAUUAACCAAAUUGACCGUUACCACCGUAGUAUAGGGGACGAGCUUACCGAUGAUCAGAGUCUCCUGGGCGAUCACGGACACAUCGGCAACGACCACGAGGAUUUCACUGCCACUGCUCCUUUUACCAAUGAAUGGGUUGUUGAAAUCAAAGGAGGUGCAGACGCAGCUGCAAGACUUGCAGAAGAAAUGGGUUUUGAAAUACAUGGGGAGGUCCCAAAUUUUCGUGACUUCUACCGACUACAUAAAUCGGAUCACCCAAGACGACAACGAGCUCAUGCGUCUCAUUUGUCCCGCCAACUUACGGAUGAUGUUCGCGUCUUGUGGGCCGAACAGCAAUUCGCAAAGAGGAGACAAAAACGUGGUUACGUUCCUGACUAUCCUCCUUUCGAGACCGAAGAAUCCACGACAUCACAAGAUAAUCGUCCGCUUAUCCGUGUCAAACGAGAAUCCUCCGAAAGUGAUGAUGUAACACGCAAAAAGCGUUCUGAUAUGGAAAUGCCGUCAAAGUCACGUCGUCUUUUUAACGAUGAACUAUGGGAUAAUCAAUGGUACAUGCAUGAUACGAGAACUAUAGCUUCGCUACCUCGAUUAGACCUGAAUGUUUUGCCCGUCUACGAUAUGGGCUACACUGGCCGUGGAGUCACCGUCCUAGUCUUAGACGACGGCAUAGAAGGCAACCACACUGACAUUCGCAAUAAUUACAAUGCGAAAAUCAGCUACGAUAUGAACGAUGACGAUCGGGAUCCCACACCACGCUACGGGAAAGGUGCAGUUAACAGUCACGGAACGAGAUGUGCUGGAGAAAUCGCCAUGGAGGCGAAUAACAAAAAAUGUGGUGUUGGAGUGGCUUUUAACGUCAGCAUCGGUGGUGUUCGCAUGUUGGAUGGCGCUGUCAGUGACCGAGUAGAAGCCUCUUCUCUUUUGUAUGCCCUGGAAAUAGUUGACAUUUAUAGCGCAUCAUGGGGACCAAGUGACGACGGUAAAACGGUCGAGGGUCCAGGCCGUCUCGUCCGUCAAGCUUUACUUCAAGGAGUAACGGAGGGGAGAAAGGGAAAAGGAGCAAUUUAUAUUUGGGCUGCUGGAAACGGUGGCCGAGUGCAAGAUAAUUGCAAUUGCGACGGCUAUGUCUCUUCCAUCUACACUUUGUCGAUUGGAAGUGUCUCAGAACAAGGUGAUUUCCCCUGGUACGGAGAACAAUGCGCAUCGACAAUGGCAGUCACCUACUCCAGCGGUGCCUACACCGACCAGAAAAUAGCCACCAUCGAUCUGAACGACACGUGUACCAUGGAUCACACCGGGACAUCGGCUGCAGCCCCACUAGCGUCCGGAAUCAUAGCUUUAGCGCUGGAGGCCAACCCCAAUUUGACAUGGAGAGAUGUCCAGCAUUUGGUAGCUUGGACUAGCGAGUACAAACCGCUGGAGGAUAAUAUUGAAUGGCAAGAAAAUGCUGCUGGUAUACGUUUCAAUUCGCGAUUCGGGUUUGGAAUGAUGAACGCAGCGAAAUACGUUCUAGCUGCAAUGAACUGGACCAGUGUUCCCGGCAAAUCCAUUUGCACCACUCUUUCCGAUAGCAAUUUACCUGUGCUGUUUACCAACCGAGAAUGGGGGGCCGUCACAUUUGAGAGCGACGGAUGUGCUGGCACUCUGAACGAGGUCAAUUACUUGGAGCAUGUGGAAGUGAUAGUCAAUAUUGAAUAUCCAGUACGAGGUCAACUUGAAAUCGAUUUGAUCUCACCUUCAGGGACUCGCACGCAAGUGUUAAAGCCUCGUUCCAAGGAUCAAUCAAAACUUGGCUUCGUGAAUUGGCCAUUUAUGUCUGUGCACACGUGGGGAGAGAACCCUAAAGGUCAAUGGAAAUUAAUCGCAACUGAUGUGUCGAGCCAAAAACCGAACCUUUUGUCCGGACGCAUCGUUAACGCCACUUUAGUCCUGCACGGCACUUCCGCUAUGCCGGAAUACCGGAAGCAUGGCACCAGGAUUUAUGACGAUGCAUUCAACCAGCUUUCUUCUCGCUCGCACGAGGCAACAAUAAAUAACGAACUGGAUGACGAAGACCAGAGGCUCGACAUCAGCCAACUGCGUUCCGAAAAUCCUAACCUUUCCUGGAAAGAUUUGAUUGGAGUGAAACUCGCUCGUCAUUCAUCAGCCAACGCCAAUUAAUGAUUUACCCAAGCAUUCUUCAUUCAACGGAUAUUUGAGGAUGGCGGGCGGAAGAUGUCGGCUGUAGACACCGAUAUUGGCACAAUGAUUGACCACCGCUGCCACCGACUCGAAACGACGUUCAGGCAAGGUGACUAGCGUGAAAUCUUUGUUCGGAUCGUCAAGCCCAGUGUUGCAGCAAAUACGAACGUGCAGAAAACCAUUUUCACCUCUGCUUACCACCCAUGAAAAAGGCAAGAAAAAUUGAUUUGAAUAAUAAAAAUAGCUAGAAAGUAGUCGGCAUGACUAGCCAUCGAGUCCCGCACAAGAAAAGAACCCGCCGGCGCAGGUUUUAGUCGUUUUUCAGCAUCUCGUCGCGUGAUGGACCCGUGAUACCAACUGUUUUGUUGUUGUUUUUUUUUUUCAACAUAAAAAAAAAAGCGACGAAGAAAAAAUAGGAAAUGUGUCACGAAUCGUUAGAGCAAAAAAAAAACAAACAAACUUGGCGAAUGAAUAAGAAAAAGUCGCACUACACGGAAGAAAGCAGGUGCAACGAACGGAAGACUCUGCAAUGGAGGGAAAGACAGCGUGAGUGAAAGCUGACGGAUCGGAGCGCUCGUUUGCGGCUUGAAGAUGCCGCUGUUGUUGUUGGUCCCACGGCGCAAUUUAGGCAUGAGAAAAGUUAAAUCGAUAACAUGCGAAGGUGCGUCAAUACGGAUAAACGGAUCAAGUUACCUUGACUAUUGUCGAGUGAGAGAUGGAGUGGCGGUUUGUUCAGCGGUUGAAGAGCUUCGUGAGAGUCGUUUGUAACCAACGAGUUGGCUGAUAUGGAGAUACCACUGUCAGAGCCAUUGAACCCCCCAGCACUUCCGCUGGGCCUGCCGCUGAUGAUGUUAGAGAAAAGAGAUUGAGGGCGUCGCCUUGCGGCCGCAUGGAACUCGAAUGGAACGGCGACCGAUGAUGGGAUAGGAACGGUGGAGCGAGAAUCCACGGUGAUGAUGAUGGUAAUUAUGAUGAGAAUCGACCGAAUGAAACAAAUGAUGCGUUUGCUGUAGCGAUCGUGAACGAUUCAAGAUCAACCGGCCGUCAAGGUCUUGGGCGGAUUCGUCCAGACUGCAAAUACUCGUUUGUAAACUGGAAAUGUUGGAACGCUGCAGCUGUAACGAGCUUCUGUCGGGCUCCGAAUGACCAGUCAUGUCAAUAUUUGGAUUGCUGUUCAUGCUGGACGUCACCGCUUUUCUGGCUCGGAUGACGGCCUGCUGAAUUUUACGCACGAUCGGAUGAUUCACGGCCGAGUCAACUUCCUCCGGUGGGUUGUCCGGCUGAGAUGUCCAGCAAUCGUUUCGUCCAUCGAAAAAUGAUGUCUCGUAAACAUACCGAAUUUUUACGGCGGAAGCCAUCCGCACGAAUUGAUGUAUGUAUUUUUUCAAGAAUCAAAUCUGGAACAUGGAAGCUAAAAAAUGGCCUAAACAACAUGAAAACGGAUGUUUGUUUACAACUUUGGUCGGAUGGAGGUCGAGAAGAACGUUGUUAUUUUACGUAAUGCAAAACUUACUGCGGACGGAUGAAUGAUGGAUGAGGCAAAGACGAGAGAAUACUGUGCUUGUACAAAGCUGCGGCUGCCGCCACGGCCGGGAGCACGACCCGUUAUGAUGGAGGAUGGAAGCAAAGCACGUUGGAACUUGUUCCCACCAAUACCUGGCUCCUCAUGGGUGAAUCAUCGGGCUCCCCCGUUCAGCGAAGAAGCUCCUCCCACCCUGACAGCAACCCGACGGGACCAGUCGAUGAGGGUAUUUCCACACCAGACAGCAGCAGACGGGGUUACUGAGUUUCUUUAUGUUAUACAUCACUGUUACGUGUCGGUAUUUCGGGAGGUUAAAAAAACAACAUGCGUGACCGGAAUCUGAUUGAGUCUUUUGCUUUACAAUAUCUUCCUUCCCCCUUUUUUCCCCUCCUUUGUGUCUAUAUUUUUGCAUUUCUUCUUUUUGUCGGGAUAUACCAGUUUCCUUUCUAGCUGCGUAUUCUCUUCGUGGUACGAAGGAGAUGAAGGAGCGGAUAUCCGCUUCUCGGCGCCACUGCGGGCAAGCGUGAUGAUGGAAUAAAGAGAGGAUUCUGCCCAAGGCCUCGUAAGUAUAUUGCAUUAUUCCCGUCCGUCCCCGUUUUACCAGUUGGACGAUAUGAAACGAAGAAAGGAACAAAUAGCGAGUUCUAGUCGGUUAGGCAUGUAGAAUAGAAUAAGGGCGACAGUGGCGAAAUGUAGUAUCACAGUUGUUGGAUCUAUUAUGAAAUUCCCUGUUGAGUUGUCUCGCUCUGACAAACCAACUAAAGAGAAAGACAAAAAUAUUUGCAGAAAAAGAUAUAAUUCUUUAUCGCUUUCAGCGAAUGCAGCUUUCUUUGUUCUUUCACAUUUAUCUAUGCGUUUGUUUUAGUCGCUCUACUGAACGCGAAUGAGAUCGUUUUGUAGCGAUUGCUUCGUCAAUGACCUAGCUGCUAAUUUCACUAUGUAUUGCCGUGCCAGGAUUUUUUUUUAAACAUCUCUAGGAAGAAUCAAUCGAUCAAGAUUACAAUCGCCUUUGUGAUGUAGCUUUUAUUAUUCUUAACGAUCGUGUUAAUCCUUUGACUUGUUUUAGGACCCGUCAAAAUCAAGAGCCCGUGAAUCAUAAAGGCUUAGUUGAUAUGGUGUGUACUCGAGUGAACGUGAAUACAACAGUCACGAUUUC
This is an RNA transcript of Daphnia magna, 5146 nucleotides long. It is a transcript of the gene named neuroendocrine convertase 1, with no coding region annotated. Lineage: Eukaryota; Metazoa; Arthropoda; Branchiopoda; Diplostraca; Daphniidae. The record is from RefSeq and is a predicted model, not a curated record. The transcript has 20 exons.